ACGGGGUCUAAUACCGGAUAACACUUCCUGCCGCAUGGUGGGGGGUUAAAAGCUCCGGCGGUGAAGGAUGAGCCCGCGGCCUAUCAGCUUGUUGGUGGGGUGAUGGCCUACCAAGGCGACGACGGGUAGCCGGCCUGAGAGGGCGACCGGCCACACUGGGACUGAGACACGGCCCAGACUCCUACGGGAGGCAGCAGUGGGGAAUAUUGCACAAUGGGCGAAAGCCUGAUGCAGCGACGCCGCGUGAGGGAUGACGGCCUUCGGGUUGUAAACCUCUUUCNGCAGGGAAGAAGCGAAAGUGACGGUACCUGCAGAAGAAGCGCCGGCUAACUACGUGCCAGCAGCCGCGGUNNUACGUAGGGCGCAAGCGUUGUCCGGAAUUAUUGGGCGUAAAGAGCUCGUAGGCGGCUUGUCACGUCGGAUGUGAAAAGCCCGGGGCUUAACCCCGGGGUCUGCCUUCNNUUACGGGGCUAGCUAGAANGNGGUAGGGGAGAUCGGAAUUCCU
Molecule: ribosomal RNA, 505 nt
Filed under: Streptomyces sp. MIDF10
Lineage: Bacteria; Bacillati; Actinomycetota; Actinomycetes; Kitasatosporales; Streptomycetaceae
Description: bacterial SSU rRNA
Rfam family: Bacterial small subunit ribosomal RNA
Source: RNAcentral